GAUGAACGCUGACAGAAUGCUUAACACAUGCAAGUCGAUGGGGAAGUGGUGCUUGCACCAUGGUAACCAUGGCGGACGGGUGAGUAACGCGUAAGGAACUUGCCUGCGGGACUGGGAUAACAGCAGGAAACUGCUGAUAAUACCGGAUAAGGUCAUUAAGCUGCAUAGCUUAGUGAUGAAAGGAGACGCCUGCGGAGAGCCUUGCGUCCUAUUAGCUAGUUGGAGGGGCAACGGCCCACCAAGGCGAAGAUAGGUAGCCGGCCUGAGAGGGUGGACGGCCACAAGGGGACUGAGAUACGGCCCUUACUCCUACGGGAGGCAGCAGUGGGGAAUAUUGGACAAUGGGGGCAACCCUGAUCCAGCAAUUCUGUGUGCACGAAGACGGUUUUCGGAUUGUAAAGUGCUUUCAGCAGGGAAGAAGGAAGUGACGGUACCUGCAGAAGAAGCGACGGCUAAAUACGUG
This 463-nucleotide ribosomal RNA is filed under the name uncultured bacterium. RNAcentral's name for it is "partial 16S ribosomal RNA". It matches the Rfam family "Bacterial small subunit ribosomal RNA", at positions 28 to 507 of the family's 1533-position model. The record is from RNAcentral.